Molecule: long non-coding RNA, 294 nt
Organism: Telopea speciosissima
Lineage: Eukaryota; Viridiplantae; Streptophyta; Magnoliopsida; Proteales; Proteaceae
Exons: 2
Source: RefSeq, a predicted model, not a curated record
CCUUUGAUCAUAAGAUGCAACAUGUUCACGGGUCUAUCUGCUGAGCAGGUAUCGACAAUGAUCCUUCCGCAGGUUCACCUACGGAAACCUUGUUACAACUUCUCCUUCCUCUAAAUGAUAAGGUUCAUUGGACUUCUCACAACGUCGCCGGCGGCGAACCGCCCACGUCGCCGCGAUCCGAACACUUCACCGGACCAUUCAAUCGGUAGGAGCGACGGGCGGUGUGUACAAAGGGUAGGGACAUAGUCAACGCGAGCUGAUGACUCGCGCUUACUAGGAAUUCCUCGUUGAAGA